This 1502-nucleotide ribosomal RNA is filed under the name uncultured organism. RNAcentral's name for it is "bacterial SSU rRNA". It matches the Rfam family "Bacterial small subunit ribosomal RNA". The record is from RNAcentral.
UGAUCCUGGCUCACAACGAACGCUGGCGGCAUGCUUAAUACAUGCAAGUCGCGCGAGAAAGUACCCUUCGGGGUGCGAGUAGAGCGGCGAACGGGUGAGUAACACGUAAGGAACCUGCCCCUAAAUCCGGGAUAACCUUGCCAACGCGGGGCUAAUACCGGGUGUGGUCCCGAGAUCGCAUGUUUUCGGGAUUAAAGGUGACCUCUCCUUGGAAGUUACCGUUUAGGGAUGGUCUUGCGGCCCAUUAGCUUGUUGGCGGGGUAACGGCCCACCAAGGCUGCGAUGGGUAGCCGGCCUGAGAGGGUGAUCGGCCACAUUGGGACUGAGAUACGGCCCAGACUCCUACGGGAGGCAGCAGUAGGGAAUUUUGCGCAAUGGACGAAAGUCUGACGCAGCAAUGCCGCGUGAGUGAUGAAGGCCUUCGGGUCGUAAAGCUCUGUUGAGUGGGAAGAAACGUUCGGCGGUUAAUACCCGUCGAGCCUGACGGUACCACUCGAGGAAGCCCCGGCUAACUACGUGCCAGCAGCCGCGGUAAUACGUAGGGGGCAAGCGUUGUUCGGAAUUACUGGGCGUAAAGGGAGCGUAGGUGGGAAAGUGAGUUAGGAGUGUAAUACGCAGGCUUAACCUGCGGCUCGCUUCUAAUACUGCCUUUCUUGAGUAUGGGAGAGGGAGACGGAAUUCCAGGUGUAGCGGUGGAAUGCGUAGAUAUCUGGAAGAACAUCAGUUGCGAAGGCGGUCUCCUGGCCCAAUACUGACACUGAGGCUCGAAAGCUAGGGGAGCAAACAGGAUUAGAUACCCUGGUAGUCCUAGCCGUAAACGAUGGACACUAGAUGUUGGGGGAGUUAUUCCUUCAGUGUCGUAGCUAACGCGUUAAGUGUCCCGCCUGGGGAGUACGCUCGCAAGGGUGAAACUCAAAGGAAUUGACGGGGGCCCGCACAAGCGGUGGAGCAUGUGCUUUAAUUCGAUGCAACGCGAAGAACCUUACCUGGGCUUGACAUGGGAGUGAAAUCCCGUAGAGAUACGGGACUUUCCUUCGGGAACACUCCACACAGGUGCUGCAUGGUUGUCGUCAGCUCGUGUCGUGAGAUGUUGGGUUAAGUCCCGCAACGAGCGCAACCCUCGCCCUUAGUUGCCAGCGGGUAAUGCCGGGAACUCUAGGGGGACUGUCUGGUACAACCAGGAGGAAGGUGGGGAUGACGUCAAAUCAUCAUGGCCCUUACGCCCAGGGCUAGACACGUGCUACAAUGGCUGGUACAACGGGCUGCAAGCUCGCGAGAGCAAGCCAAUCCCUAAAAACCAGCCUCAGUUCAGAUUGGAGUCUGCAAUUCGACUUCAUGAAGGUGGAAUCGCUAGUAAUCGCGGAUCAGCAUGCCGCGGUGAUACGUUCCCGGGCCUUGUACACACCGCCCGUCAAGCCACGAAAGAUGGUAGUACCCGAAGUCGCUACUCUAACCCGCAAGGGAGGAGGGCGCCGAAGGUAAGAUCGUUGAUUGGGGCUAAG